AAGGUUGGGGGGGGUGCCUAAUACUUGCACGUCGAGCGGACAGAAGGGAGCUUGCUCCCGGAUGUUAGCGGCGGACGGGUGAGUAACACGUGGGUAACCUGCCUGUAAGACUGGGAUAACUCCGGGAAACCGGAGCUAAUACCGGAUAGUUCCUUGAACCGCAUGGUUCAAGGAUGAAAGACGGUUUCGGCUGUCACUUACAGAUGGACCCGCGGCGCAUUAGCUAGUUGGUGAGGUAACGGCUCACCAAGGCGACGAUGCGUAGCCGACCUGAGAGGGUGAUCGGCCACACUGGGACUGAGACACGGCCCAAACUCCUACGGGAGGCAGCAGUAGGGAAUCUUCCGCAAUGGACGAAAGUCUGACGGAGCAACCCCGCGUGAGUGAUGAAGGUUUUCGGAUCGUAAAGCUCUGUUGUUUGGGGAAAACAAAUGCAAAAAAAAAUGUUUUUUCCUUUUGGGGGCACAAACCAAAAACCCCGGCUAACUACGGCCAGCAGCCGCGGUAAUACGUAGGGGGAAGCGUUGUCCGGAAUUAUUGGGCGUAAAGGGGUCCCAGGGGGUUCUUAAGUUUGAUGGAAACCCCCGGCCAA
This 592-nucleotide ribosomal RNA is filed under the name Bacillus pumilus. RNAcentral's name for it is "partial 16S ribosomal RNA". It matches the Rfam family "Bacterial small subunit ribosomal RNA", at positions 32 to 611 of the family's 1533-position model. Lineage: Bacteria; Bacillati; Bacillota; Bacilli; Caryophanales; Bacillaceae. The record is from RNAcentral.